RNAcentral lists this ribosomal RNA (617 nucleotides) under uncultured bacterium. RNAcentral's name for it is "bacterial SSU rRNA". The stretch from base 1 to 521 matches the Rfam family "Bacterial small subunit ribosomal RNA", at positions 338 to 873 of the family's 1533-position model. The record is from RNAcentral.
CCUACGGGAGGCAGCAGUGGGGAAUCUUGCGCAAUGGGCGAAAGCCUGACGCAGCCAUGCCGCGUGAAUGAUGAAGGUCUUAGGAUUGUAAAAUUCUUUCACCGAGGACGAUAAUGACGGUACUCGGAGAAGAAGCCCCGGCUAACUUCGUGCCAGCAGCCGCGGUAAUACGAAGGGGGCUAGCGUUGCUCGGAAUUACUGGGCGUAAAGGGAGCGUAGGCGGAUAGUUUAGUCAGAGGUGAAAGCCCAGGGCUCAACCUUGGAAUUGCCUUUGAUACUGGCUAUCUUGAGUACGGAAGAGGUAUGUGGAACUCCGAGUGUAGAGGUGAAAUUCGUAGAUAUUCGGAAGAACACCAGUGGCGAAGGCGACAUACUGGUCCGUUACUGACGCUGAGGCUCGAAAGCGUGGGGAGCAAACAGGAUUAGAUACCCUGGUAGUCCACGCUGUAAACGAUGAGUGCUAGUUGUCGGCAUGCAUGCAUGUCGGUGGACGCAGCUAACGACAUUAAGACGACUCCGCCGUCGGGGAGGUACGGGUCGGUCGAAGAAGUUAAACUUAACGUAAAGAAAGUUAGUACGGCGUUGAGACGNGCGACGGACGACGACGAGGGAGGAGG